Long non-coding RNA from Aricia agestis (brown argus), 468 nucleotides. RefSeq lists it as uncharacterized. NCBI's taxonomy places the organism in Eukaryota, Metazoa, Arthropoda, Insecta, Lepidoptera, Lycaenidae. The record is from RefSeq and is a predicted model, not a curated record. The transcript is spliced from 3 exons.
AACAAUAUGGCGUUUCCUUUGUUUUCAUAUGGAGUUAUUAUUAUUGCUUUCCGAGCUUAAAAAGAUUUUUAAAAUAUAGUGUAUUGGAUUGUAAAAUUAUUAAAAAUUUGUGUGCUGUGAUGGCUGUGUGAAAGAAUCGUACCCUGGCUGUGGAUUAUCUUUUCACAGUUUGCCUUCAGAUUUAGAGCUAAAGAAAAAGUGGUUAGAAGUGAAACCCGGGAACUUACGUCAAAGCUCUGUAGUUUGUUCACUUCAUUUCAAACCUGAAGAUUAUCGAACAGAACAGCGGAAAAGAUUAAAACCUGGAGUGAAUCCUUCUAUCUUUCUAAAGAUUUUUCCCGAAAAUAAAAUUAAAUUGUUAAGCAUUAUACGCUUCAAUACUGUAGAAAACGAACAACCUGGAUUUUCUAAAAGUUUUUAGUUAAAAAAAUUUACACAAACAUCAACUUUGCUUGCAAGUUACAACCA